AAGGUUUUAAGUUAAAUAAACUAAUAGCCUUCAAAGCUAUAAAUAUAAGGAAUCCUUUUAAGCCUUA
RNAcentral lists this transfer RNA (67 nucleotides) under Exhyalanthrax sp. RNAcentral describes it as "tRNA-Trp". It matches the Rfam family "tRNA". Rfam says of the family: Transfer RNA (tRNA) molecules are approximately 80 nucleotides in length. Their secondary structure includes four short double-helical elements and three loops (D, anti-codon, and T loops). Further hydrogen bonds mediate the characteristic L-shaped molecular structure. tRNAs have two regions of fundamental functional importance: the anti-codon, which is responsible for specific mRNA codon recognition, and the 3' end, to which the tRNAs corresponding amino acid is attached (by aminoacyl-tRNA synthetases). tRNAs cope with the degeneracy of the genetic code in two manners: having more than one tRNA (with a specific anti-codon) for a particular amino acid; and 'wobble' base-pairing, i.e. permitting non-standard base-pairing at the 3rd anti-codon position. The record is from RNAcentral. Lineage: Eukaryota; Metazoa; Arthropoda; Insecta; Diptera; Bombyliidae.